UGGGGAAUAUUGCACAAUGGGCGCAAGCCUGAUGCAGCCAUGCCGCGUGUAUGAAGAAGGCCUUCGGGUUGUAAAGUACUUUCAGCGGGGAGGAAGGGAGUAAGGUUAAUAACCUUAUCAAUUGACGUUACCGACAGAAGAAGCACCGGCUAACUCCGUGCCAGCAGCCGCGGUAAUACGGAGGGUGCAAGCGUUAAUCGGAAUUACUGGGCGUAAAGCGCACGCAGGCGGUUGAUUGAGUCAGAUGUGAAAUCCCCGGGCUUAACCCGGGAAUUGCAUCUGAUACUGGUCAGCUAGAGUCUCGUAGAGGGGGGUAGAAUUCCAGGUGUAGCGGUGAAAUGCGUAGAGAUCUGGAGGAAUACCGGUGGCGAAGGCGGCCCCCUGGACGAAGACUGACGCUCAGGUGCGAAAGCGUGGGGAGCAAACAGG
Molecule: ribosomal RNA, 429 nt
Filed under: Chloroflexota bacterium
Lineage: Bacteria; Bacillati; Chloroflexota
Description: Chloroflexi bacterium partial 16S ribosomal RNA
Rfam family: Bacterial small subunit ribosomal RNA
Source: RNAcentral